Molecule: ribosomal RNA, 427 nt
Filed under: uncultured bacterium
Lineage: Bacteria
Description: partial 16S ribosomal RNA
Rfam family: Bacterial small subunit ribosomal RNA
Source: RNAcentral
UGGGGAAUAUUGGAAAAUGGGCGAAAGCCUGAUCCAGCCAUGCCGCGUGUGUGAAGAAGGUCUUCGGAUUGUAAAGCACUUUAAGUUGGGAGGAAGGGCAUUAACCUAAUACGUUAGUGUUUUGACGUUACCGACAGAAUAAGCACCGGCUAACUCUGUGCCAGCAGCCGCGGUAAUACAGAGGGUGCAAGCGUUAAUCGGAAUUACUGGGCGUAAAGCGCGCGUAGGUGGUUUGUUAAGUUGGAUGUGAAAUCCCCGGGCUCAACCUGGGAACUGCAUUCAAAACUGACUGACUAGAGUAUGGUAGAGGGUGGUGGAAUUUCCUGUGUAGCGGUGAAAUGCGUAGAUAUAGGAAGGAACACCAGUGGCGAAGGCGACCACCUGGACUAAUACUGACACUGAGGUGCGAAAGCGUGGGGAGCAAACA